This 789-nucleotide ribosomal RNA is filed under the name uncultured archaeon. Its description in RNAcentral is "bacterial SSU rRNA". It matches the Rfam family "Archaeal small subunit ribosomal RNA", at positions 88 to 879 of the family's 1478-position model. The record is from RNAcentral.
GCUCAGUAACACGUGGAGAACGUGCCCUUAGGCGGAGGAUAAUCUCGGGAAAUUGAGGAUAAUACUCCAUAGGUCACGGGGUCUGGAACGACCCGUGGCCGAAAGCCCCGGCGCCUAAGGAUCGCUCUGCGGCUUAUCAGGUCGUAGUGGGUGUAACGUACCCCCUAGCCGACGACGGGUAUGGGCCUUGAGAGAGGGAGCCCAGAGUUGGAUUCUGAGACACGAAUCCAGGCCCUACGGGGCGCAGCAGUCGCGAAAACUUCACACUGGGGGGAACCCCGAUGAGGGAAUUCCUAGUGCUUGGGCAUUUGUCCAAGCUUUUCCCGAGCGUAGAUAACUCGGGGAAUAAGGGCUGGGUAAGACGGGUGCCAGCCGCCGCGGUAAUACCUGCAGCCCGAGUGGUGGUCGAUUUUAUUGAGUCUAAAGCGUUCGUAGCCGGUCCGUUAAAUCCUUGGGUAAAUCGGGAAGCUCAACUUUCCGACUUCCGAGGAGACUGGCGGACUUGGGACCGGGAGAGGCCAGAGGUACUUCUGGGGUAGGGGUAAAAUCCUGUAAUCCUAGAAGGACCACCGGUGGCGAAGGCGUCUGGCUAGAACGGAUCCGACGGUGAGGGACGAAGCCCUGGGUCGCAAACGGGAUUAGAUACCCCGGUAGUCCAGGGUGUAGACGCUGCCGACUUGGUGUUGGGGGCCCUUCGGGGGAACUCAGUGCCGGAGAGAAGUUGUUAAGUCGGCCACUUGGGGAGUACGUCCGCAAGGAUGAAACUUAAAGGAAUUGGCGGGGGAGCAC